AAAGUAUUUAAUCUUGGUACAGUUUGAACGUUAUCUGGUAGUUUAACUCAUGCAAGUCAACUUUUUAUUAUAAAAAAGUGGCGAAAGGCGAGGAUAAACAAAUAUAUACCCCUAAUCAUUUGUAUUAAGGAUUAAUUUGAUUUCUAGCAGGUAGUAAAUAAAAUAUUUUAGCCAUACGGAUAGGAAAGGGCGAAAGCCUCAAUUCCCGCAGUCGGUUUGAGAAUAACCGGUCGUGUGAUUAUACACGCAGCAGAGGAGAAUCUUGGGCAAUGCUCGAAAGAGUGACCCAGCUAACCAGAACUUCCUAUGCCCUUAGGGCGGAAGUGUCGUAAGGGAGGAUAAUGACGUUACCUUACUAUUAGUCCAAUCUAAGUAUCGUGCCAGCAGACGCGGUUAUACGAACUGGGCAAACGUUAAAUAUUUAAAUAGGUAUUAAGGAUCUGUAGGCGGUAUAAUAAUUAUUUAUACUAGAAUCUAAUAGAGGUUAACGGAAUACUAGAAGUAGGGCUGAUAUCCAUUGAGAUCUAGUAGAACACUAAAAGCGAAAGCAGUUAACCAAGUAAAGAUUGACGCUGAGGGAUGAAAGUCUGGGGAGCAAAACGGAUUAGAUACCCGUGUAGUCCAGACCGUAAACGAUUUACACUUUAUAUUUGGAUAAAAUUAAAAAAUUCAGAUAAGAAGCAAACAGCAGUUAGUGUAACACCUUGUAAGUACAGCCACACGGCAGAAAGCAAAAAGAUUAGACUAUCUUGAAAACCCGGAGUGGAGCAUGUUGUUUAAUACGAUAACCCGCGUAGAAUCUUACCUCUCCUUGCAUUAUUUAUUAAAUUAAAUAACAGGCGUUGCAUGGCUGUCGACAGUUCGUGUCGUGAGAUGUCAGGUUAAGUCCGCUAACGAACGCAAUCCUUGUUAAUACCGAUAUAGUAUUAAUAUAUAUCUUCCACAAGAAAUAUUUUAGGAAUAUGACAAGCCUUCAUGACCCUUAUGGAGUAUGGGCUACAGACGUGCUACUUGUAUCUAACAAACUGAUGCAAUACUGCAAAGUGGAGCUAACCAGUAAAAUAAGAUUAUAUAGGAUUGUAGUCUGAAAUUCGACUACAUGAAUUAGGAAUUCCGAGUAAUCGUUGAUAAGUACGCAACGGUGAAAUAUUACAUUUUUGAGGUACUAAUUGUCUAUCAGGCGUCGGCCGUAGGAGAAUCACGUAUACUACUAAUAAUAAUUAUAAUUUUGUUAUUAUUAUUAGUAAAUAGAUUGGUAAGCCUAUUUCUGAGGUCAAGUUAUAGCAAAGUAACCGUAAAUGAAUUUGUGGUUG
This 1313-nucleotide ribosomal RNA is filed under the name Betula nana (alpine birch). Its description in RNAcentral is "bacterial SSU rRNA". It matches the Rfam family "Bacterial small subunit ribosomal RNA". The record is from RNAcentral. Lineage: Eukaryota; Viridiplantae; Streptophyta; Magnoliopsida; Fagales; Betulaceae.